Molecule: ribosomal RNA, 494 nt
Filed under: uncultured bacterium
Lineage: Bacteria
Description: partial 16S ribosomal RNA
Rfam family: Bacterial small subunit ribosomal RNA
Source: RNAcentral
GACGAACGCUGGCGGCGUGCUUAACACAUGCAAGUCGAACGGUGAAGCGCCUUCCUUUUUGGUGGGUGUGGAUGAGUGGCGAACGGGUGAGUAACACGUGAGUAACCUGCCCCCUUCUUCUGGAUAACCGCAUGAAAGUGUGGCUAAUACGGGAUAUUCUGGGUCUGUCGCAUGAUGGGUCUGGGAAAGAUAUUGUUUCGGUGGGGGAUGGGCUCGCGGCCUAUCAGCUUGUUGGUGGGGUGAUGGCCUACCAAGGCGGUGACGGGUAGCCGGCCUGAGAGGGUGGACGGUCACACUGGGACUGAGACACGGCCCAGACUCCUACGAGAGGCAGCAGGGGGGAAUAUUGCACAAUGGGCGCAAGCCUGAUGCAGCGACGCCGCGUGAGGGAUGGAGGCCUUCGGGUUGUGAACCUCUUUCGCCAGUGAAGCAGGCCUGCCUCGUUUGUGGGUGGGUUGACGGUAGCUGGAUAAGAAGCGCCGGCUAACUACGUG